Molecule: ribosomal RNA, 253 nt
Filed under: uncultured bacterium
Lineage: Bacteria
Description: partial 16S ribosomal RNA
Rfam family: Bacterial small subunit ribosomal RNA
Source: RNAcentral
UACGAAGGGGGCUAGCGUUGCUCGGAAUCACUGGGCGUAAAGGGCGCGUAGGCGGGUCUUUAAGUCAGGGGUGAAAUCCUGGAGCUCAACUCCAGAACUGCCUUUGAUACUGAGGAUCUUGAGUUCGGGAGAGGUGAGUGGAACUGCGAGUGUAGAGGUGAAAUUCGUAGAUAUUCGCAAGAACACCAGUGGCGAAGGCGGCUCACUGGCCCGGUACUGACGCUGAGGCACGAAAGCGUGGGGAGCAAACAGG